GAAGCGAGUAUCUGCGCAGCAGCUGACGGAGAAGGGAGCGCACGAAAAGAGGUUGGUAGACCGAGAGAGCAAGGAGGUGGACAGUAAGAAGGUUUCCGAGUACUACUCCUGGCACACCCAUCACUCUGCACACAAGUAUAGGCCAAUACACAGAGACCCUUUUAAGUAGACAUAUACGCGCCCUUCUCUGCGCGUUCUCUAGGUCGGCGGCGGGGUAGCGUAUCCACCCUCAUUAAUGUCUUUAGUCUUUGCUUUAUUCGCAUCUCUACCUUCUGGCCGCCUUUUCACCGCGACACCAUGGCUGUUGUGUCGAAGCUGACGUCGAGUCGCUUUCUUGGCUUCUACGCCGUGCAGCUGCUCUGCCUCGCUGCGGCGGCUCGCAUUCUCGAUGCCGUGGUGCUCCGGCGACGCGGUGCAAGCGGCAGCACAAAGCACCGCUCUCGCCGCUUCUCUCCGUCGCGCGUCGGUGGCAGCAGCGAGGAUGCCACAAUCAAGAUGGAUCGCAUCUUCUGGGGGCGCCUCCUCUCUCUUCUCCGACUGUGCAUUCCUCAUUUCGUAUCCGUCGAAUCCGGGGGUGUGCUGCUCUUGCUGACCCUCUUUUACCUGCGCACCCACCUGACAUUGCUGUUUGCAAGGGUUGUCGGGCGCAAUGGCCGGUACCUCGUGGAGCGCAACACGAAAGCGUUUAUUUCUAGCGUGGCGGACAUCGGCUUGCUCGCCAUCCCGGGAACGAUUCUGCAAAUCGGGGUGCAGUACGUGAAGAUAAUGACGCAGCAGCGGCUGCGAGACAACUUGCAGGCGGCCCUUCACAAAGAGUACCUCAAAGGGAACACGAUCUACAUGAUCGCUACGCAGAGCGCCUUCAUAGAUAACACCGAUCACCGUCUCACGCAGGAGACAGAUCAGUUCUGCAAGGGCGUUGCUGGAGUAUUCCGCGCCCUAUUUAAACCGAUUCUGGACGUGGUGACGCUUCUGAUGGAGCUCUCGAGGCACGGAGGCCUUGCUCCCCCUGCUUUCUUAAUCUCCUACUACCUGCUCGUUGCGACGUGCAUGUCGGUGCUGCUGCCCAACUUUGGUCAGCUGGUGGCGACGAGUCAACAGAAGGAAGGCAACCUGCGCACGAAGCACCACCAGCUCAUCUCGCACGCGGAGGAGAUCGCUUUCUACAACGGCGAGGAGAUCGAGCGCGAGCACGCGGGACGCCUGCUGGGCUCCCUCAUUCGCCACGAGUACAAGAUCAAGCGCACCAAGUGGCUGACCGGGUGCAGUGACAGCCUGUUCAUCAAGUACGGUGCCAGCUUGGUCGGGUACCUUGUGUGCAGUCUUGUCGUUGUCGACCAGUUCCACCUCAUGACCAAGGGUGAUCUUACUCAGCUGUACCUCCAAAAUGUGCAGCUGUACGUGCCCUUUUCCGCAGCGAUUGGGCGGAUGCUUCUCAUGCACAAACAAGUAGGCGCGUUGUGCGGCAGCGUGCACCGCAUUGGCGAGCUGCGCGAGAGACUGGAGCGCAUCAACAUGUUGAAUGUGCGUGGUGAAGGGGCCAACGUCGUCUACUCGAAUGAUUUGGUGCAAUGGAGGGACGUGGAUAUCGUCAGUCCGGCUGGCAUGAGUCUUCUGCAUGAUUUUAACCUCACUGUCACCCCUGGGAAGCACACGCUGAUCAUGGGCAGCAACGGCUCCGGCAAGACGGCACUGAUGCGCGUGCUUAGUGGGCUAUGGCCGGUUGCCAAGGGCAGCGUGACCCUCCCAACGGCCCCCGAGUCGCUCAUGUGCCUGCCGCAGCGUACGUACCUCCCACCUGGCUCGCUGCGUGCGCUGCUUACAUACCCGCACGUUACAGAGGACGCCCGCGACGGCAAGCCUGAGCAAGCUUUCGUGUCGGAUGAGGUUAUCAUAUCCGCGGCGAUGUCGUUUGGCCUCAACCCCAUGAUGGAUCGGGAAGGUGGCUUGGAUGCCUCCGAGAACUGGGAGGAAGUGUUGUCGGGUGGGGAGCGUCAGCGUGUGGCCCUGGUGCGCGUCCUGUUGCACCGCCCGCAAUUCGCAUUCCUCGAUGAGUGCACGAGCGCAAUUUCCCAGGAUGAAGAGCCCUUCUUCUACAGAUUACUGCAGAAGGCAGGUGUGACGCUGAUCACGGUAUCACAUCAUGAGACACUGCGCAAGCUGCACCGCGUCGUCGUCUCCUUGGACGGAGAAGGCGGCUGUCAGGUCAGCGAACAGUAAAGAGGGCGGGCGAGUGAGAGAGAAGACAAAUUGAGCGGAUUGUUCGCCUCUCUUGUUUUGGGGCUGUGCUGGGUGCAGCUGAAGCGCGGAUUUCUUUUGCAACUCAAGGUCGUCCCAACAACGGACUCUUGGGGCGCUGAUGUUGCACCUCUGAAAGACACACGCACACGAGGAGGUAUUCUUUCCUUUCUGGCGACGACGACGACGACGACGGAAGACAAACAAGCGCAAAAGUAACCGAAAACGUGGAAGCAGAGCUGAUGACGCUUUCGUUGUUCUUUUUCGUCCUUUCUCCUUUUUGCCUUUGCGCCCUCCCUCUCCUUCUUCGACUCAUGCACGCUGCCGUCCUUUUAAAAGAAAAACGCACCUUUACCUGCGAACACGCAUUUUGCAUAUGCAUAUAUAUAUAUGUUUAUGUAUGUAUUUGCUAUCAUUUGGAAAUGUCCUGUUCGGUGUCUGUCUGUGCGCUGGUGUCUGCUUAUGCGUGUUCUCUUGUUUUUCUUUCUCUGCCACACCUCCAAUGCUUCCUCCGCUUCCUUUAUCAUGUGCAUACACACAUCAGUGGGCGCCUUUUCUUUUUCGUGGUUCCCUUCUCGUAGCAUCCGCCUGCUAAAGGGUUGAACGUGGGAGAGGAGUCCUUGAGGGGUCUGUGGCGCUCGUACAAAAUGUACAAGAACGACAUUUUAAAGAAGAGGGCAACUCUUCUAGCGUGCGCAGCUGUACUGUGCGACAGCACCAUAUGCGGGCGCUGGGGUCUUCUGCGCUUCCAUGUCUUUGAGGGUGUACGCUCUGUGUGCUCGCGUUUGCGUGCAUACGUGUUUUUCUCUUCCUUCAGCCAUUUUUUUUGGGUUUCGCUAGACGGGGCCGAUAAUGUGCCAGUGGUGUUCUUAUAUAUAUUAUUCUAAGUUUGCUGUGCUGUUGUUUUUAAUAUCGGCCUCUGCCCACCUCUGCCUGUGCCUUUCUCUCGGAGUCUCAAAAGAUUUGCCCUUGCGCGCUUCCGGCACUGCAACACCUAACCGACUGUGAAGGAGAGGGGAUGUAUCGGCUGUCUGGUGUGCGUAGGCGUAUGUGUCUUGCUCUUUUUCAGCAUUUUGGAGUGUGCACUGGUGUAUGCUAGCGUUGUCGACCUGUUUUUUUUUCUUUAUUGGUGAGGUGUGGUGUCUACAUGUGUAUGAAGGAGGCAGGGAGCUGAAAGUGCGAGUGCGCAGGAGUAGGUGCAGGUGUAUAAGGCGACGCACAGGCCUUCACGAACCGUCUUUCCCCAUCGCGUUCUCUCUGGGCUACAUAGACUGCUGGCUCCCACGUCCCCUUUCUCUCUCUGCCUGUGUGUGCCGCGCGUGUAUGUUUAGAUUUGCAUGUGCUGAUUCUCACUCCCCCGUACAGUUGGUCUUUGAGUCUGGGGUGCGCCGCGUUCGCACACGCGCAUGUCAGCUGCGUGUGUCUCCAAAGGGGUGGAAAAAAUGUACCCUGUGCUGCCCGGACCUCUGCCUCCCCCAAAAGAGGGAGCCUUGAGUGCGAAGUGGGUGUUGGAUUUGUAUAUAAGGGUUCCCUCAGUGUUAAUAACGGCUUAAUGAAUGAAAAAGAGCGUAAGUCGUGAUGCGCGUAGUCAAGCCACCAUUGCCUACGCACGGUGGUCACCGGCACCGCUUUGGUGUAUCACUGUUGUCGGCCUCGACCAGCGUCGCACAUCUGCGGGAGCGGUGCAUGGACGCCCGGAGGCCGCCUUUAGCCUUCUCUGCGGCAGGCAGUCUUUAGCGCUCCACCCGGUAACUGCAAGUAUGAUAUCGUCUAGGGUGUUGUCAAAAGCCUGCUCCCCUUGCUGUGCCGCUCCGUGCCAUCGUUUUCUAUCGAUCUCGCUCGCCUUCUUCUUACCACACGGUUGCUGCUCUUCCUCCAACCGCCAUCACAUCGUCUCUCUCACACAGCCAUGUGCGACCGUUGCACGUAUCUGUGAAAGAGAUAACAUCGUUGACGCGAGAGAGCCCGCGUUCGGCUGCGCUCUUCUUUGCUUUCCGACUGCAAUCCUCCUCGCAGAGGACGGCCACACCUGCUCCACGCUGUAUUACUGAUCGUCUUCGUGAAGAAGGCCAGCUCACCGUCUAUACUGUUCUCUCUUCCACUUUUUCUGUUCUCUGUCUGACACCCCCGGCUUCCACAG
This 4378-nucleotide unclassified non-coding RNA is filed under the name Leishmania donovani. The record is from RNAcentral. Lineage: Eukaryota; Euglenozoa; Kinetoplastea; Trypanosomatida; Trypanosomatidae.